CUCCCUCCCUCGGCUGGAAGCCAGGGGGCAACUCUGGUGACCGGGAAGGCACUGGGAGCCUUGGCCCCAGACCCGAGGCUUCGCUGCCAGGAGCCCUAAAAGAAUGUUGACCAUGAAGAAAAACAUCCUGUGAUUGUCUUGUGUCCACUAAAAACUGAAGCCUGCAAGAUAAUGACCAUGGGAUCGAAGGACACUUGCCCAUUCCCAGCCCCUCACCUUUGGAAAAGUGCCUUUAUAAGUCUCGCAGCCUACGGAGAGGCUAGUGAUAUUCCUCUUUCCUGUCAGCCCUCUUUUAUACAAGCUAUCUCUUUUUUUUUUUUAAGAUUUUAUUUAUUUAUUGAGACAGAGAGAGAGAGGCAGAGACACAGGCAGAGGGAGAAGCAGGCUCCAUGCAGGGAGCCCGACGUGGGACUCGAUCCAGGGUCUCCAGGAUUAAGCCCUGGGCUGCAGGCGGCGCUAAACCGCUGCACCACCAAGGCUGCCCUAUACAAGCUAUCUCUAAUAAACUCCACCUGUUUUCUUUC
Molecule: long non-coding RNA, 524 nt
Organism: Canis lupus familiaris (dog)
Lineage: Eukaryota; Metazoa; Chordata; Mammalia; Carnivora; Canidae
Exons: 2
Source: RefSeq, a predicted model, not a curated record